RNAcentral lists this ribosomal RNA (253 nucleotides) under uncultured bacterium. RNAcentral's name for it is "partial 16S ribosomal RNA". It matches the Rfam family "Bacterial small subunit ribosomal RNA", at positions 524 to 776 of the family's 1533-position model. The record is from RNAcentral.
GACGUAGGGCGCGAGCGUUGUCCGGAUUUAUUGGGCGUAAAGAGCUCGUAGGCGGCUCGUUGCGUCGGCUGUGAAAACCCGCAGCUCAACUGUGGGCUUGCAGCUGAUACGGGCGGGCUGGGAUUCGGUAGGGGAGACUGGAAUUCCUGGUGUAGCGGUGAAAUGCGCAGAUAUCGUUUGGAACGCCAAUGGUGAAAACAGGUCGCUGGGAGUGUGCUGACGCUGAGACACGAAAGCCAGGGGAGCGAACGGG